CCGAGUUAUACAACUCCCAAACCCCCUGUGAACAUACCUAUUGUUGCUUCGGCGGGCUCUCCUUGCUCCGGCGAGGACCCCGCCAGAGGACCCCUAUAAACCCUUAUUUUAAGAAGAAUUUCUGAGUAAUUGAUAUAAAAAUCAAAAUCA
RNAcentral lists this unclassified non-coding RNA (150 nucleotides) under uncultured Ascomycota. Its description in RNAcentral is "sequence contains ITS1". The record is from RNAcentral. Lineage: Eukaryota; Fungi; Ascomycota.